Molecule: transfer RNA, 68 nt
Filed under: Marmota monax (woodchuck)
Lineage: Eukaryota; Metazoa; Chordata; Mammalia; Rodentia; Sciuridae
Description: tRNA.Ala
Source: RNAcentral
GGUUUGUGGCUCAGCCGCAGAGCGCCUGCCUAGCAUGUGUGAGGCACUGGGUUCGAUUCUCAGCACCA